RNAcentral lists this non-coding RNA (45 nucleotides) under Cinara cedri. It matches the Rfam family "Histone 3' UTR stem-loop". From Rfam's summary of the family: The mRNAs of metazoan histone genes lack a poly-A tail. 3' end processing occurs at a site between a highly conserved stem-loop (modelled by this family) and a purine rich region around 20 nts downstream (the histone downstream element, or HDE). The record is from RNAcentral. Lineage: Eukaryota; Metazoa; Arthropoda; Insecta; Hemiptera; Aphididae.
AAAACGGCCCUUUUCAGGGCCACCAAAUUUCAUGAUAUUUUAGAG